ACCCGUAAUCCGGGUUGCGGACAGUGUCUGGUGGGUAGUUUGACUGGGGCGGUCUCCUCCUAAAGAGUAACGGAGGAGCACGAAGGUUGGCUAAUCCUGGUCGGACAUCAGGAGGUUAGUGCAAUGGCAUAAGCCAGCUUGACUGCGAGCGUGACGGCGCGAGCAGGUGCGAAAGCAGGUCAUAGUGAUCCGGUGGUUCUGAAUGGAAGGGCCAUCGCUCAACGGAUAAAAGGUACUCCGGGGAUAACAGGCUGAUACCGCCCAAGAGUUCAUAUCGACGGCGGUGUUUGGCACCUCGAUGUCGGCUCAUCACAUCCUGGGGCUGAAGUAGGUCCCAAGGGUAUGGCUGUUCGCCAUUUAAAGUGGUACGCGAGCUGGGUUUAGAACGUCGUGAGACAGUUCGGUCCCUA
This 410-nucleotide ribosomal RNA is filed under the name Escherichia coli. Its description in RNAcentral is "partial 23S ribosomal RNA". It matches the Rfam family "Bacterial large subunit ribosomal RNA", at positions 2231 to 2640 of the family's 2925-position model. Lineage: Bacteria; Pseudomonadati; Pseudomonadota; Gammaproteobacteria; Enterobacterales; Enterobacteriaceae. RNAcentral also lists the same sequence under 1 other name. The record is from RNAcentral.